RNAcentral lists this ribosomal RNA (253 nucleotides) under uncultured bacterium. Its description in RNAcentral is "partial 16S ribosomal RNA". It matches the Rfam family "Bacterial small subunit ribosomal RNA", at positions 524 to 776 of the family's 1533-position model. The record is from RNAcentral.
GACGUAGGAUGCAAGCGUUGUCCGGAAUUAUUGGGCGUAAAGAGUUCGUAGGCGGUUAUUUAAGUCUGGUGUUAAAGACGGGAGCUUAACUCCCGCAUGGCACUGGAAACUGGAUGGCUAGAGUGUGGUAGAGGUCUCGGGAAUUCCAGGUGUAGCGGUGAAAUGCGUAGAUAUCUGGAGGAACACCGGUGGCGAAAGCGCGAGACUGGGCCAUAACUGACGCUGAGGAACGAAAGCCAGGGGAGCAAAAGGG